This 522-nucleotide ribosomal RNA is filed under the name Coniochaeta lignicola. Its description in RNAcentral is "LSU rRNA". It matches the Rfam family "Eukaryotic large subunit ribosomal RNA", at positions 48 to 582 of the family's 3401-position model. The record is from RNAcentral. Lineage: Eukaryota; Fungi; Ascomycota; Sordariomycetes; Coniochaetales; Coniochaetaceae.
AAGCGGAGGAAAAGAAACCAACAGGGAUUGCCCCAGUAACGGCGAGUGAAGCGGCAACAGCUCAAAUUUGAAAUCUGGCUUCGGCCCGAGUUGUAAUUUGUAGAGGAUGCUUUUGGUGAGGUGCCUUCUGAGUUCCCUGGAACGGGACGCCAGAGAGGGUGAGAGCCCCGUAUAGUCGGCCACCGAUCCUUUGUAAAGCUCCUUCGACGAGUCGAGUAGUUUGGGAAUGCUGCUCAAAAUGGGAGGUAUAUCUCUUCUAAAGCUAAAUAUUGGCCAGAGACCGAUAGCGCACAAGUAGAGUGAUCGAAAGAUGAAAAGCACUUUGAAAAGAGGGUUAAAUAGCACGUGAAAUUGUUGAAAGGGAAGCGCUUGUGACCAGACUUGUGCCGGGCUGAUCAUCCAGUGUUCUCACUGGUGCACUCGACCCGGCUCAGGCCAGCGUCGGUUCUCGCGGGGGGAUAAAAGCUUCGGGAACGUGGCACCUCCGGGUGUGUUAUAGCCCGUUGCUUAAUACCUCGCGGS